Bombus impatiens (common eastern bumble bee) is the source of this 3532-nucleotide long non-coding RNA. RefSeq lists it as uncharacterized. NCBI's taxonomy places the organism in Eukaryota, Metazoa, Arthropoda, Insecta, Hymenoptera, Apidae. The record is from RefSeq and is a predicted model, not a curated record. The transcript has 6 exons.
UUUACAUUUUACGUACCAUUUUCGUCUUUUUAUCCUUCCAAUAUAUUUUUAUCCUUUCAUUUUUCAAUUAGAACUAGGUUAGAUGUUGUUCGUAUAAUUUUGUCCCACGAUAGGAAUACGAAUGAAUAGUUACAAUCUGAAAAAGGGAACAAUAUGACUUUUCACGGAUAUUAUCAUAGGAACAGAGAGGAUGACGAGUAUUGAGGUAUUGCGCAUUUUCCAUUUUCCGUCAUUUCCUGCUCUAUACAGCAAAUUGCGAUUGAAUAAUGGACAUCGAGCAUCUAAUAAUUGCUGAAUAAAACCUGUAUUUUUCGCACAAUUACUGUACCUAUUAUACCGUGCUCGUAUCACGUAUGCAGUUUCACAGGUAGAAAAGAAAAGUAAAAAUCGAUUCUACUAUUCAAAUGACUAUCAGUAAUCGAAUACUAAAAACAUGCAGUAAAAUUCUCUUAAUAAGGAUUUAUUCGUAUCGCCAAAGUGAAGUUCACAAUAGAUUAAAUGUUCAUAAUAUAUAAAUAUGAUAUAUAUAUAUACAUAUUAAUAAAAAAAGAAGAGGAGUAAAAAAUAUCGUAAUUGUAAUGCUUUUGUUAACAUAGUUCAAACGUUUGCAUACAAACUGAUAUUUGUUAGAAACAGAGCAUCGGUCGUGCAAUGAAUAAACAUUUCGCGGCGUGAUCGUUAUUGUCGAAUGAUCACGUGAAUUAUAAACAAUCGUACAGUGAAAGCAGGCUAGAUCAGUUCGGCCAAUGUUAAAAAUUUCUUUACUGUUAUAGAUGAAACGUACUGGUAGAAAAAUGAUAACCCAGUGAUCGGAUUACGUUGUACGGGAAGUAAUUUGGUAUUUUUGACAGAGAAUCAACAUACCGAAAGUUAGCAUUUGGCUUAUAGAGCAUAUAUGUACCUCUAGCUACAUUUUCACUUUAUCUACAAUCAAUCGUUUCAAGCAACGGAUCAAUGCAUCCAACUAUUGUUAGCUUCGCAGACUGCGCGUUCGUUUUGAAAGUAUGUAAACACCAUAUUCUCCAAGACUAUUCGAUCAGUUCGAUUGCUUAUUAGAGUAGAAGUGAUUAAUGCGAGGAACAAUUUGUUUAAAUUAACUAUAUUGAUCAAUAAUUUCUUACUAUAUAUAGAUGUUAUUAAGUGGUUUAAUAAAGCGUACGUUAUUAACGUUAUAAAAGAAGUGUUAUGAAGGUCUCUAUCGCAAAGCGUUCUCGUUGCCUUGGUUUCUUUUUUAGCAAGACCACAAAAGAAAUUAUUUAAAAAAGAAUAAUAAAUCGUGUCAAAGAUUAUGAACAUUUCAAAUUAUGAAAUCAUCAGAAAAAUUUCACAACGGUUUAUAAAAUCUUUGGACGACAUUUGUAAAUAAAAGGUAAGCAAGUAAUAAAGCUUUUAUUGUCGAAAUGAAGCUGGUCAGUGUAACCGGGUUAAAAAUUCCUGUGAGUCCUUGUCAUCGUGUUUGAGAGCGGCUCGUCACGCGAACGAUGUCGGUUCGCCACUGUAUACCAAACUCUUAUGUAAGGCUCGUCAUGCGAAUACAUUUGUUUAUUUGGGUUAUUGCUUAGUUGUUUGUAGGGGCCGAUGUUUUUAGGAAAGCAACACGAGAUCCAUGCGCAACGAUACACACGAUUGUGCGCGUUAGCGCGGAAAUUGAAUUACCUUUGUGCGACUGCAGCGAUGAAAGCGAGGCCGGAUUGUACCAUCUUGCAAACGGUCUUCCAAUUAAACGUAGCUACGAAGUACAAUUUACACGUCAAAGGAUCUCGAUGCACAGUAAAGAAAGGAUAUUCGCUUUCAAUCACAAAUACGUUGAUCGAGAUUAAUUUGGAGGGAUUAGUUCGUUAACUAACGGAGCGACGAGAUGAUGGGAAUUUAAGAGUCCCAUUAGGAUGUUCUCUGAAAACUUGUUUGCAAUUUAAACCAUACUGUUCAAUAUUUCACCAAGAGCAGUGGUUCUUAAAAUUACCGGAUUAACCUUGAACCCAAAAUCGUCCGCAAUAUCCCGGCUGAUCCUCGAAGAAUACAAGCCGCAAACAAGAGAACGAAAGGUAUUAGGAGAAGAAAAGGAGUGUUCGAAAACAAGGUUAAAGACAAGCACGGUAAAAAAGGGGGAUAGAGAAAUGGAAUGAAAGAAGAAACGUAAGAAGAGAUGAAAAAUAAGUGAAAAAAAUGAGGAGUAAGAAGAGGGCUCUGCUCGUGUCUGAGGGCGACCCUCGGUGAAAAUGCAAUUUCGGUUCUUGUCUGGAGACGACGUAGCUACCAUGGCUCAUCUUCCUGGCGUCCGUACCUCCUUCAACAUUGUUGAAGGCACAGCCUCUCGUGCACACAGAAGUUCUUCUCUCUGGCAUGUUCCAGGAGAUGAAAGGCUCCCGUGGCUAUCAAAGGGAAAGGGAAGAGAGGUAAAGGCCCCACCCGACAAUGGCCCUGAGCUCCAAGGUUUUCAAGCUCGACGUCCAGGCCUCGGAGGACCAGUCGUGUGAUUUCAACCGGCCUGUCAACUUAUUCCCAUUUCAUCCGAUUUCGAUAAAUAUCACGAUUGUUUCGAUUUUCCAAUCAUCUAGAAUUUUCUCAAACAAAUUUGAAAAUACCAGAAAAUUCAAGUUUCCGCAUAUUAUAAAGCUAAUCGUUUAGAGUCUAGCAGAUACCACGGGGAAUUUUCUAUGUGUCUAGGAAAUGGAGGAAAAACGUCAGCGUAUUACUCACAGAGAGAAGCGUUUCCUCUUUUAACCGAUUACGAAACGAAGAAAGAAGGCGGUUCUAAAUUUACAUUGGUUCAUUUUGCAUCCUCGUCGACGAGGUGAACGCGCUCUUCGACCAGCGACAUCUCGCCAGAGAGCCAUCUUCGGCGACGAGAGAACUGGAACAAGGUGUACGAUGAAUUUUCUACGAGAUGUUUGAGAGCACUGCCAAUGAUUCAGCGUUUCUGACCGAUUGCCACGAGAGUGAGAGGGAGAGUAUCGAUAAUGCACGUGCCUCAUUUUACAUUGUUGCAUAUCUUGAUGGAGAACAUUCAAAGUUUCAUACUGCCUUCUUGGAAAUCAAUAAGAUUAGGUAGUGAGCACUUUCAGGUCUCCUUAAAUAACAAACUCAUUUCAUCUAUUUAAUGCUAUUAGAUAUAAAUGAUUAUAUGAUAUCUUAUUAAUUCCAGUUGGUAAUAUUCUUAAAAAUAAAGUAAAGGAUUAGGAAGAAGUUUAUGGAAGCCAGUCACAUACUCGAUAGCGUAGCUGUAGGCGCGAACCAGACAUAAUAAGGCAUUUGUAUGUUCAUCGUGAUUUUGAUAUUCGAGGUCCCGUCUUUUUAGCCAUGCUUUUAAAUCAAGGAUCGAGAAUAGCAAGAAGGUCGUUAACAAAAGGAAGCUUUAAACGAGCAACGUAAAAACAUUACGCUCGAAUCAGCGAGACAUCGUAAUUCAAUUAAAAAUGAAACAGAAAACAGUCGAUAACAGAGUACGUUAACAGAUUAAAAAGAAAUACGAUGAAAGCACGUGUACAGUAUACAGUGUACUACGUAUACGUCACGGGAGUAGAAAGAGAUG